GCAUUACUUCGUCCAGUAUACAAAAACCUCAGCAGUACAACAAUUUCUUCAAAUACUAAAAACCAGGAUGGCAGUAGUCAGCGAGCAUUUCAAUAGCGAAUUGGACAUCUUCUUCAGUGACGUCACCUGGCGAUUCCUUAUUGAUAACGGAACUGACGUCAUCUUCAUCAUCCGGCCGGAUCAUCAACGCAUUGUCAACUGCUGCCGUUAACUUGUAAACCAUCUUCAUCAACGCCUCCAGUACAUCCAAGAUGGACGCCUGCGUCUUGGUUACCGCUCUCUGCACUCUGGGAAACUCUUACGAUCGUCUAUUCCUUCUCCUCCACGUUGGCAAUCUCUGUUGAAGAGCCGAAUUCCGGCGACUAUGCACAUUAGCUCCAUUAGCUGCUCCUCCUUCUCUGACUUGGACAAAGUGACAAAGUAC
Molecule: long non-coding RNA, 424 nt
Organism: Cephus cinctus (wheat stem sawfly)
Lineage: Eukaryota; Metazoa; Arthropoda; Insecta; Hymenoptera; Cephidae
Exons: 3
Source: RefSeq, a predicted model, not a curated record